This 379-nucleotide ribosomal RNA is filed under the name uncultured bacterium. RNAcentral's name for it is "bacterial SSU rRNA". It matches the Rfam family "Bacterial small subunit ribosomal RNA", at positions 128 to 507 of the family's 1533-position model. The record is from RNAcentral.
GCCCAGUCGUGGGGAUAACGUAGGGAAACUUACGCUAAUACCGCAUGCGCCUUCGGGGAAAGCCGGGACCUUCGGGCCUGGCGCGAUUGGAUGAGCCCACGUCGGAUUAGCUAGUUGGCGGGUAAAGGCCCACCAAGGCGACGAUCCGUAGCUGGUCUGAGAGGAUGAUCAGCCACACUGGAACUGAGACACGGUCCAGACUCCUACGGGAGGCAGCAGUAGGGAAUAUUGGACAAUGGGCGCAAGCCUGAUCCAGCCAUGCCGCGUGAGUGAAGAAGGCCCUCGGGUUGUAAAGCUCUUUUGUCCGGAAAGAAAAGCGCCGGGUUAAUACCCUGGUGUCCUGACGGUACCGGAAGAAUAAGCACCGGCUAACUUCGUG